RNAcentral lists this small RNA (155 nucleotides) under Oryza sativa Japonica Group (Japanese rice). RNAcentral describes it as "sRNA Os04g0372775". The record is from RNAcentral. Lineage: Eukaryota; Viridiplantae; Streptophyta; Magnoliopsida; Poales; Poaceae.
AUGAUACUAUCACCCUUCCAUCUCAACGACUAUCUUGCCGGUGGCGUGGCCGUCGAUGCUCUUCUGCCACGCCUUCGCCGCGUCGCCCAGCGGGAACCUCGAGUCCACCACCGUCCUGAGCUUCCCUUCCCCCACCAGCCCGACCAAGAACUCCA